RNAcentral lists this ribosomal RNA (496 nucleotides) under uncultured bacterium. Its description in RNAcentral is "partial 16S ribosomal RNA". It matches the Rfam family "Bacterial small subunit ribosomal RNA", at positions 28 to 506 of the family's 1533-position model. The record is from RNAcentral.
GAUGAACGCUGGCGGCGUGCCUAAUACAUGCAAGUCGAGCGAACAGACGAGGAGCUUGCUCCUCUGACGUUAGCGGCGGACGGGUGAGUAACACGUGGAUAACCUACCUAUAAGACUGGGAUAACUUCGGGAAACCGGAGCUAAUACCGGAUAAUAUAUUGAACCGCAUGGUUCAAUAGUGAAAGACGGUUUUGCUGUCACUUAUAGAUGGAUCCGCGCCGCAUUAGCUAGUUGGUAAGGUAACGGCUUACCAAGGCAACGAUGCGUAGCCGACCUGAGAGGGUGAUCGGCCACACUGGAACUGAGACACGGUCCAGACUCCUACGGGAGGCAGCAGUAGGGAAUCUUCCGCAAUGGGCGAAAGCCUGACGCAGCAACGCCGCGUGAGUGAUGAAGGUCUUCGGAUCGUAAAACUCUGUUAUUAGGGAAGAACAAAUGUGUAAGUAACUAUGCACGUCUUGACGGUACCUAAUCAGAAAGCCACGGCUAACUACGU